UACGUAGGCAGCAAGCGUUGUUCGGAGUUACUGGGCGUAAAGGGUGUGUAGGCGGUUGUUUAAGUUUGGUGUGAAAUCUCCCGGCUCAACUGGGAGGGUGCGCCGAAUACUGAAUGACUCGAGUGCGGGAGAGGAAAGUGGAAUUCCUGGCGUAGCGGUGAAAUGCGUAGAUAUCAGGAGGAACACCGGUGGUGUAGACGGCUUUCUGGACCGUAACUGACGCUGAGACACGAAAGCGUGGGUAGCAAACAGG
This 253-nucleotide ribosomal RNA is filed under the name uncultured bacterium. RNAcentral describes it as "partial 16S ribosomal RNA". It matches the Rfam family "Bacterial small subunit ribosomal RNA", at positions 524 to 776 of the family's 1533-position model. The record is from RNAcentral.